RNAcentral lists this ribosomal RNA (761 nucleotides) under Prevotella melaninogenica. RNAcentral's name for it is "bacterial SSU rRNA". It matches the Rfam family "Bacterial small subunit ribosomal RNA", at positions 28 to 776 of the family's 1533-position model. The record is from RNAcentral. Lineage: Bacteria; Pseudomonadati; Bacteroidota; Bacteroidia; Bacteroidales; Prevotellaceae.
GAUGAACGCUAGCUACAGGCUUAACACAUGCAAGUCGAGGGGAAACGGCAUUUAGUGCUUGCACUGAAUGGACGUCGACCGGCGCACGGGUGAGUAACGCGUAUCCAACCUACCCAUUACUGUGGGAUAACCUGCCGAAAGGCAGACUAAUACCGCAUAGUCUUCGAUGACGGCAUCAGAUUUGAAGUAAAGAUUUAUCGGUAAUGGAUGGGGAUGCGUCUGAUUAGCUUGUUGGCGGGGUAACGGCCCACCAAGGCAACGAUCAGUAGGGGUUCUGAGAGGAAGGUCCCCCACAUUGGAACUGAGACACGGUCCAAACUCCUACGGGAGGCAGCAGUGAGGAAUAUUGGUCAAUGGACGAGAGUCUGAACCAGCCAAGUAGCGUGCAGGAUGACGGCCCUAUGGGUUGUAAACUGCUUUUGUAUGGGGAUAAAGUCAAUCACGUGUGAUUGUUUGCAGGUACCAUACGAAUAAGGACCGGCUAAUUCCGUGCCAGCAGCCGCGGUAAUACGGAAGGUCCGGGCGUUAUCCGGAUUUAUUGGGUUUAAAGGGAGCGUAGGCCGGAGAUUAAGUGUGUUGUGAAAUGUAGACGCUCAACGUCUGACUUGCAGCGCAUACUGGUUUCCUUGAGUAUGCACAACGUUGGCGGAAUUCGUCGUGUAGCGGUGAAAUGCUUAGAUAUGACGAAGAACUCCGAUUGCGAAGGCAGCUGACGGGAGCGCAACUGACGCUUAAGCUCGAAGGUGCGGGUAUCGAACAGG